This is a non-coding RNA of Bombyx mori (domestic silkworm), 44 nucleotides long. The record is from Rfam. NCBI's taxonomy places the organism in Eukaryota, Metazoa, Arthropoda, Insecta, Lepidoptera, Bombycidae.
CUUCAGGCUCUUAAGAGCCACCUCAUAUUAACAUAAGGGAAUCG